This 76-nucleotide transfer RNA is filed under the name Chloroflexota bacterium. RNAcentral's name for it is "tRNA-Ala". It matches the Rfam family "tRNA". From Rfam's summary of the family: Transfer RNA (tRNA) molecules are approximately 80 nucleotides in length. The record is from RNAcentral. RNAcentral also lists the same sequence under 2 other names. Lineage: Bacteria; Bacillati; Chloroflexota.
GGGCCUGUGGCGCAGCUGGAAGCGCGCCUGCAUGGCAUGCAGGAGGUCAGGGGUUCGAGCCCCCUCAGGUCCACCA